GGACAGGGACCGUGUCAGACCCGACGGUACGGUAACUAGCCCAGGGCUCAGCCCAGUGCUUGGCACACAGUAAGCGGUUAACAGAUACCACUGUUAUCAUUAGUGCUUUGGGUGGAUCUCGGCUGUGGUGGGAGCCGGCGUGGGAGACGUCAUCUGAGAGCGGCAGGCCCUCCCCACCCCCGCCUUCGCUGGAGGACUGAACCUCUCGCCUCGACAGUGGUUCUCUUAUCUCGAUGGAGCUCCUUCUCAUAGGAAGCGCCGGGCCAUCCUGAACUGGUGUUAUUUCGCUGGACAGCUACCUCGGCUGUUUGCCGGAGCCACUGCCUGACCCGGAAUAAUUUGGAGAAAGAGGCUGGACUGGAGAAGGCUCCUCUAAACCUCUGAAAAGCGGUGACCUGUGCAUUCCUAGACAAAUCCCCAAAGUAUUCUGAAAACCGGAGCCGGACUUGACGAUCCUAGGUUCAGAAAAAGACCGGCUUUUCCUGAGUCCUAAUCACUUCCUUUCUCCUCAAACUCGGCCGGCUCUGAACUUUCCCCAUGCCUCUCCCUUAGACUGAUAAACUUGUUCCUAUCCCAGAGUUCAGAACGGUGCUUGACACACAGUAAGUGCUUAAGAAAUACCACUAAAAAAUACAAUCUACCUGCGAAGUCUAUUUCCAUGCAGACUAGGUCAAUGUUAACACAGCUAUGGAUCUUCCUGGAUUUCAAAGUUAACUGGGAGCAGUGUCCAGACUGAGAAUUUCUUUGGCAAGAUGACUCAUGAAAAUACGGGUCUGAAUACUCUCCCAAGUACUUAGUACAGUGCUUUGCACACAGUGCGUGCUCAAUAAAUAUGUUGAAUGAA
Molecule: long non-coding RNA, 844 nt
Organism: Ornithorhynchus anatinus (platypus)
Lineage: Eukaryota; Metazoa; Chordata; Mammalia; Monotremata; Ornithorhynchidae
Exons: 2
Source: RefSeq, a predicted model, not a curated record